This 397-nucleotide ribosomal RNA is filed under the name uncultured bacterium. RNAcentral describes it as "partial 16S ribosomal RNA". It matches the Rfam family "Bacterial small subunit ribosomal RNA", at positions 523 to 918 of the family's 1533-position model. The record is from RNAcentral.
AUACGUAGGGGGCGAGCGUUGUCCGGAAUGAUUGGGCGUAAAGGGCGCGUAGGCGGCCCGGUAAGUCUGGAGUGAAAGUCCUGUUUUUAAGAUGGGAAUUGCUUUGGAUACUGUCGGGCUUGAGUGCAGGAGAGGUAAGUGGAAUUCCCAGUGUAGCGGUGAAAUGCGUAGAGAUUGGGAGGAACACCAGUGGCGAAGGCGACUUACUGGACUGUAACUGACGCUGAGGCGCGAAAGUGUGGGGAGCAAACAGGAUUAGAUACCCUGGUAGUCCACACUGUAAACGAUGAAUGCUAGGUGUAGGGGGUAUCGACCCCUUCUGUGCCGCAGUCAACACAAUAAGCAUUCCGCCUGGGGAGUACGGCCGCAAGGUUGAAACUCAGAGGAAUUGACGGGG